This 373-nucleotide unclassified non-coding RNA is filed under the name uncultured Sphingobacteriales bacterium. Its description in RNAcentral is "contains 16S-23S intergenic spacer region". Lineage: Bacteria; Pseudomonadati; Bacteroidota; Sphingobacteriia; Sphingobacteriales. The record is from RNAcentral.
UCCGGUUUGUCACCGGCAGUAUCCCAUGAGUCCCCGACAUAACUCGCUGGCAACAUAGGACAGGGGUUGCGCUCUUUGCGGGACUUAACCCAACAUCUCACGACACGAGCUGACGACAGCCGUGCAGCACCUAGUUUCGCGCCCCGAAGGGAAGACUCCUUUCAGAGUCGGUCGCUAACUUUCAAGCCCUGGUAAGGUUCCUCGCGUAUCAUCGAAUUAAACCACAUGCUCCUCCGCUUGUGCGGGCCCCCGUCAAUUCCUUUGAGUUUCACCGUUGCCGGCGUACUCCCCAGGUGGAUUACUUAUCGCUUUUGCUAAGCCACUGAAGGUUGCCCUCCAGCAGCGAGUAAUCAUCGUUUACAGUGCGGACUAC